AUAAAAUAACAACAACACCGGCAAGUUGUCGUGACCUUUCAUUAUCAUAUCCAUUCUCUCUAGCUCUAACAGUGUUGUCUGAAAUAUGAACACAAGUUAGGCUUGCAGUGCUGCCAUGUCUUGGAGUCCAGGAAGGAGAAGUUCCUUGUUGAGCAAUUGUGCACUUGAAUGGUAGAAAGUUGCGAAGGCUGUUAACAUGCCAGAAUGAGAAGAAGCUAGAGCAAGAAUCUCUCAUCUGGAUUUAUUCUGAAGAAGCUUCUGUUUUCUCAAGAAGAAAACAAGAAGUUGCGUGAAGAGUCUUUCCACCUCAUUUUCAAGGAGAGAGUUGUUUUUCUUCAGCAUCCUUUCAGAGACACUAAAGAGAGAUUAAAAAAGAAGGAUAUUUUCUUAUCUUCAUUCCAAAAUGUGGAAAACAAUGAUCUGCCUGGUGGAUAAGGGAAAGGCUGUUGACCUGGCCUACCCCAACUUCAGCAAAGCCUUCAACACUGUCUCCCACAGCAUUCUCCUGAAGAAGCUAGGAGCCCGUGGCUUGGACAGUUCCAGUCUGAGAAAUGAGCUCUUUGAAUGAUGGAAAUGAUGGAAUUAAAAGCUCUUUUGGGUCAGUCUGCUCCAGUGGAUGUCAUGUCUCUUCUCACAUGGCAGAAACAUGGACAGAGCUAAGGAAAAGCUAAGACC
This is a long non-coding RNA of Gallus gallus (chicken), 675 nucleotides long. NCBI's taxonomy places the organism in Eukaryota, Metazoa, Chordata, Aves, Galliformes, Phasianidae. The record is from Ensembl.